GUAAACGUGCGGAUUGGUAUCGGGAAAAUCCGAAGAUUAUUGAAGUCUGUAUAUAAUUGAAGGUCUCAGAAAUUGGCCGAGAUUGGUAAACCGACGCCUCAGGAUCUGCGAUUCACUCAUGAACACCUUCCCAUUCAUUUUGCGAACCUUCGAGAGCCAAUCAUUAAGAAGAGGUUCUAAGCCAACACACAAGGAAAAACAGGGAUGCAUAAAAUAUAAUAGAAACAAUAAAACCCUAUAGAAGUAAGAAAAGUUCCGUAACACAAAUUAGUUUGGGGAUGAACGGGUCUCCUGGUCCAAACGAAAAUGAACCGGAAAACAGUAUUUUCACUAGAACCGGACAAUCAUCUUCAGGAAAACCGUAAAGGAGUGCAUAAACAUGAGUAUGCCCGUAUAUUACCUCUAAGAAGACCUGAUAAGUCAGUCACUUUAUAGAAAAUGAUUUUGAAGCAGCCCUCAUGAAUAGAGAAAAGAAAUGGUUCCAGUUAGAUGGAUGACCUACAUAUUACACUUUGCCAGUUCGACGAUGGCAGGAUAACAAUUUUCCAGAUAUGUCGUGCUCAAGACAUUUUUUUCCUUGUAUUGCGUGCUCUCCGGAUUUUAUCCCUUUGGAUUUUUUACACCCAUGGAGUGUAACUUUAUUUUGAAAAAAGUGGCGAUAAUUUUGAACAAUUUUUGUGAAUUUAUCUUACAAAUUUUCUAAUAAAAUAAAAUGUAUCUCAUGAAUCGAGAAGCAUUUUUGUUUUUCUGUUUUAAAUGUUGAUGUUGAAAUAACAUCCAAUAUUUUAUUGAUUUUUACGUGCUAUUUUAUAUUACUUUAUAUUUUAAUAUUGUUUGCUUGGACUUUUAGUUAUUGUUUUUAGUGGUCUUUGUUUUGUUUUGUUUUUUAAACAAAGUGUGUUAUGAAAAAUCUAAGAAGGCAAAUAGUGUGUGUUAAAUACAUAAUAAAUAAAUCAUCCCAAUAAUGUCCGCCCAUGUAAUUGAUGUAAAUGUGUGAAAUAAUACCAGAGCAGUUAGAGAAAAUGUGUUAAUCAUUUAAAGUUGAAAAUAAUUAUAAAAAACUUGGGACAAUUUAAAACCAUUCAUUAUAUCUUUAGAUGAGAGUGAUAGCAGAGACUCAAACUAUUCUGGCGACAAAGUUUAUUUAAUAUCUGUUUAUUA
Molecule: long non-coding RNA, 1161 nt
Organism: Cylas formicarius (sweet potato weevil)
Lineage: Eukaryota; Metazoa; Arthropoda; Insecta; Coleoptera; Brentidae
Exons: 3
Source: RefSeq, a predicted model, not a curated record